Salvia splendens (bonfire salvia) is the source of this 2274-nucleotide RNA transcript. It is a transcript of the gene named kinesin-like protein KIN-14A, with no coding region annotated. The record is from RefSeq and is a predicted model, not a curated record. The transcript is spliced from 7 exons. Lineage: Eukaryota; Viridiplantae; Streptophyta; Magnoliopsida; Lamiales; Lamiaceae.
UUUGAAUUUACUUCCCCCAAAUCAUAGAUCCCCAAAUGAAGGAACCAAUUCCCGUCGGCACCCUUCCGUCUUUCUCACGCCGGUGACUACACUCCAUCACCGGUCCGAUUUCUCCCCAAACAAUUCGACGCAGCCUCCGUUCGGUCGAUUAAAGCCAUUUUGAAUUCCUCCCAAAUUUCAAUUCCGCCUGGCCGCUACUGCGGUCGGUCAACAACAGCCGGCACCGACUCUCCUUUGCGCACACACUCGUUGGACUCGCUUGCAGACAGCGGCCUCCGUCGCUUCGGAGUCGCUCCCUCCGUUCCAGUUGCACUCUCCUCGGUCUGGAAUCGCCGACGUCGCGCACACAAGCCGCCGCGUCGCAAGGCUGUCAUGCCGUCAGUCCAUCCGUCGGAUAUCAGGUGCCGCCGAGCGGUUGGAGGCACUCGAGAAUCCAUCGAGCAGUCGCUGCCGUCGGGGUCUCACUUCGGUCUCCAGCCAUAUCGGCUGCAUUGUCACAGUCAAUUUCGUCGGACAGCCGUGGACUUCUUGGCUUAGGUUGACUGGCCUCUAUGUGGAAUUCUUCUCUUACAUUCUAUGUGUGAUCUUGCCUCUCGGGUGGGCAAAAUUGAACAGAUAUGUACUUACUUCUUCGUAUCCAGGAAUCUCACACCAUUCCCAAUGACAUGGUUCUUCUUCAUGCGGCUCUCGUAGCUUGCAGUCUACAAUUGUUGACAGUCAUUGUUUCUCCACAUUACCAAAGGUUGCUCAAGCAUUGACUGCGUAUUACAAGGUGUAUAUAUUCAAAGAGGCAGCAUUUGCUGCUGUUUGUGUAGAUGUCAAGUAUCUGCAGACCAACGAUUCAUCUAGAAGUGCAUCCCCUACUACUGAAGAGACCUUGAAUCAUCUCUGGCAGCAGUGUGAUUCUUCUCUUCAAUUUCUACAGCCCCUGUGUCAGCAAAAGUUGUUCCGGGAAUGCAUUGUUAACAACCAGGAGCUUGGGAAGGGGUGGACUGCAGAGCAACUAGCUUCCUGUGUUGGACUCGGCCAUGAUGAAAAAAGGAGUAGCUCUACUUCUCAUCUUUGUAGUCGUCAAAAUCCUGGUCUUUGAGGAUUCUGGAAAGACUUUCUGUUUGAGUCAGAUUGCAGAGCUGCUGUGUACCAAUCCUGUUGCGUUUGAGGCUAUUGAGAUAAUUCAGCAUAUUCUCGUGUUACUCUUAGUCGAUUUGAAGGCCUCUCUAAGCAUUUAGAUUCGUUCUUGCAAAUGUUAUCUCUCGUGGAACUAAGGUGUUUUCUGUGAUAGUUCCUAGUGCAUAAAUAGACUAGAAAGUACUUAGUCGAUCUGAAGGUCGAGGGUGGUAGUGGGCGACUGUGUUCUUAACUUAAAAGAUGAGGGGGAAACGGUGGAAAACUGAAGGCAAAAGUCUAUUUAAUUAUUUUUUAGCUUGCUUUGUGAUCUUCUGUUUCUUGGUUGUUGUGCCUCUAUUUUUCCUACUUAUUUAAUUCAUUCUUUGCUGCAUUUUGCAGCUUUAUAAUUGAUCUGUUACAUAUAUUAUAUUUUUGUUUGUUAUAUUGUGCCUGACGUUUUUCUACUUUUUCUAAUCCACUUUUUGCUACGUUGCAGCAUAAUUAAUUCAUACAUACAUAGAUAGCAUCCUAUUUUUCUUUGUCUCAUAUGCCCUAUACAAAUAUGUGCUAUAUAAGUGUUUCUUUGAUAUGUAAAACCCAUUGAUUGUCAAGUCUUGGCUUCUUAAUAUAUCUGUUAAAUGAUUUUAUAGGCUCUUUCCCAGUUACUUACUACACACAUUUCCUUUUUACUUUGGCAUUCAGUUUGCAGGACUUGCAUCUAAAAAAGAAAUCAUGGGCCUUGGAAACUGGUUGAGCACUCAAUUAGUGUCAAGUAAAGAUACUUUAUAUGAGGAAUGGAAAUUGCAGCUUGUUGCCACUAUGUAGUAAAUACUUUAACUACAAUAGAUGGAAUCUAGACUACGUCGAUUUCUGUAUAUUUGAGUUUGUUUUCUUUACCUGUCUGUUUGAUGAUUAUGAUUGAUACAACAAAUUCUGGUUUACUGAGUGAACAUAAGAACAGAUUAAUAGUGUUGUAAUAUACUAUUCAACUUAACUAUGAGUUGUAAUGUUACGCCGUUCUAAAAUUUUCAGCUUGCCUGUAAUGUUUAUCCUUUGUGAAUGCUGCUGCUUCAGUAUCAUUCAAUAAUCAUCACUUGUGACUCACCAUAUGCUGUGUAUUGCUGCAUCAACUUGUGACUCACCAUAUGCUGUGUAUUGCUGCAUCAA